UGAGGAAUAUUGGUCAAUGGACGAAAGUCUGAACCAGCCAAGUAGCGUGCAGGAUGACGGCCCUCUGGGUUGUAAACUGCUUUUAGUUGGGAAUAAAAAAGAGGACGUGUCCUCUAUUGUAUGUACCUUCAGAAAAAGGACCGGCUAAUUCCGUGCCAGCAGCCGCGGUAAUACGGAAGGUCCAGGCGUUAUCCGGAUUUAUUGGGUUUAAAGGGAGCGUAGGCGGAUUGUUAAGUCAGCGGUUAAAGGGUGUGGCUCAACCAUGCAUUGCCGUUGAAACUGGCGAUCUUGGGUGCAGACAGGGAUGCCGGAAUUCGUGGUGUAGCGGUGAAAUGCUUAGAUAUCACGAAGAACUCCGAUCGCGAAGGCAGGUGUCCGGGCUGCAACUGACGCUGAGGCUCGAAAGUGUGGGUAUCAAACAGGAUUAGAUACCCUGGUAGUCCACACAGUAAACGAUGUAUACUCGCGGUUUGCGAUAGACAGUAAGCCGCCAAGCGAAAGCAUUAAGUAUACCACCUGGGGAGUACGCCGGCAACGGUG
Molecule: ribosomal RNA, 540 nt
Filed under: uncultured bacterium
Lineage: Bacteria
Description: bacterial SSU rRNA
Rfam family: Bacterial small subunit ribosomal RNA
Source: RNAcentral